UUUGAUCCUGGCUCAGAUUGAAUGCUGACGGCGUGGAUGAGGCAUGCAAGUCGAACGAAGUAGCUUGCUACUUAGUGGCGAAAGGGUUAGUAAUACAUGAGUAACGUACCUCUUUCCUGGGGAUAACGGUUGGAAACGACCGCUAAUACCGAAUGAGGAGGUCUGGGAUAGCCCAGAUUCUUCAAAGUAGGGGACCCUUCGGGGCCUUACGGAGAGAGAGCGGCUCAUGCGAUAUCAGCUUGUUGGUGUGGUAAUGGCGCACCAAGGCUAAGACGUCUAGGCGGACUGAGAGGUUGACCGCCAACACUGGGACUGAGACACUGCCCAGACUCCUACGGGAGGCUGCAGUCGAGAAUCAUUCGCAAUGGGCGAAAGCCUGACGAUGCGACGCCGUGUGGACGAUGAAGGCCUUAGGGUUGUAAAGUCCUUUCGCCAGGGAACAAGAGAGAGUAACUAAUAUUUACUUAAUUUGAGUGUACCUGGUAAAGAAGCACCGGCUAACUCCGUGCCAGCAGCCGCGGUAAUA
Molecule: ribosomal RNA, 526 nt
Filed under: uncultured bacterium
Lineage: Bacteria
Description: bacterial SSU rRNA
Rfam family: Bacterial small subunit ribosomal RNA
Source: RNAcentral